GAUGAACGCUGGCGGCGUGCCUAAUACAUGCAAGUCGAGCGAACGGACGAGAAGCUUGCUUCUCUGAUGUUAGCGGCGGACGGGUGAGUAACACGUGGAUAACCUACCUAUAAGACUGGGAUAACUUCGGGAAACCGGAGCUAAUACCGGAUGAUAUUUUGAACCGCAUGGUUCAAAAGUGAAAGACGGUUUUGCUGUCACUUAUAGAUGGAUCCGCGCUGCAUUAGCUAGUUGGUAAGGUAACGGCUUACCAAGGCAACGAUGCAUAGCUGACCUGAGAGGAUGAUCGGCCACACUGGAACUGAGACACGGUCCAGACUCCUACGGGAGGCAGCAGUAGGGAAUCUUGCGCAAUGGGCGAAAGCCUGACGGAGCAACGCCGCGUGAGUGAUGAAGGUCUUCGGAUCGUAAAACUCUGUUAUUAGGGAAGAACAUAUGUGUAAGUAACUGUGCACGUCUUGACGGUACCUAAUCAGAAAGCCACGGCUAACUACGUG
Molecule: ribosomal RNA, 497 nt
Filed under: uncultured bacterium
Lineage: Bacteria
Description: partial 16S ribosomal RNA
Rfam family: Bacterial small subunit ribosomal RNA
Source: RNAcentral